CCUGCAGCUGGUCGAGGCGGGCGUCCCGUCGUCGGCGACCACGCUGACGGCCGCGCCGUCGAGCCAGGUGUUCGGGUCGUCCUCACGGGUC
This 91-nucleotide transfer RNA is filed under the name Cellulomonas terrae. RNAcentral describes it as "tRNA-Ala". The record is from RNAcentral. Lineage: Bacteria; Bacillati; Actinomycetota; Actinomycetes; Micrococcales; Cellulomonadaceae.